UUGGCGGACGGGUGAGUAACGCGUGGGUAACCUGCCUCACACUGGGGGAUAACACUUAGAAAUAGGUGCUAAUACCGCAUAAGCGCACGGGACUGCAUGGUCUUGUGUGAAAAACUCCGGUGGUGUGAGAUGGACCCGCGUCUGAUUAGCUGGUUGGCGGGGUAACGGCCCACCAAGGCGACGAUCAGUAGCCGGCCUGAGAGGGUGGACGGCCACAUUGGGACUGAGACACGGCCCAAACUCCUACGGGAGGCAGCAG
Molecule: ribosomal RNA, 259 nt
Filed under: uncultured bacterium
Lineage: Bacteria
Description: partial 16S ribosomal RNA
Rfam family: Bacterial small subunit ribosomal RNA
Source: RNAcentral